UACGUAGGGUGCAAGCGUUGUCCGGAAUUAUUGGGCGUAAAGAGCUCGUAGGCGGUUUGUCGCGUCUGCUGUGAAAACCCGGGGCUCAACUCCGGGCCUGCAUUCGAUACGGGCAGACUAGAGUUCGGUAGGGGAGACUGGAAUUCCUGGUGUAGCGGUGAAAUGCGCAGAUAUCAGGAGGAACACCGGUGGCGAAGGCGGGUCUCUGGGCCGAUACUGACGCUGAGGAGCGAAAGCGUGGGGAGCGAACAGG
RNAcentral lists this ribosomal RNA (253 nucleotides) under uncultured bacterium. Its description in RNAcentral is "partial 16S ribosomal RNA". It matches the Rfam family "Bacterial small subunit ribosomal RNA", at positions 524 to 776 of the family's 1533-position model. The record is from RNAcentral.